AGGGAGGUGUAAAAGGAUUGCCUUGCUACACAGCAUAUGAGUAUAGGCAGCAAAUGCAGGGAGUGAUUGAAGGCUGAAGCUUGGCAGGGAAGAUCAAGGAUAAUGGCAUCAAUGCUGGUGGGAUUUGAAAACUGGACUCUGGAAUGACAGGAUGCUGAGGAGCCUUCUAGACCUUUUAAACUCAAAGGGCUAUAAGCUUCACUCCCUUCAGAAGUUGACAACUUUUCCUAAUGGAGCUGAAGUGGUAGCUGAAGUUGUUGGACCUUUUUGAAUGCCUCUAAUGAAUCAGAGCCUCUUCUUGAAGAAGUUUUUAGUUCUUCUGAACUAGUUAUGAAAUGUCUACUUGUGCUUCACAGUCUGUCUCUUCAAAACAUUUUCCUUACAUGUAACCACAAUUAUCCCAGAACAAUUAUUUAUGUAUGUGCUCUUUCCCCUAGUUUCCUUUAAAUGGCAAUGCUAUCUGAGGCCCUCUGGGCAUCCACCAGACUCAUAAUUCAGUAGCACUGAAACUUUUAUUAAACUUUUUCGAUGGCACUUCUGUUAGGCACUUCUCAGCCUUCU
Molecule: non-coding RNA, 561 nt
Organism: Phascolarctos cinereus (koala)
Lineage: Eukaryota; Metazoa; Chordata; Mammalia; Diprotodontia; Phascolarctidae
Source: RefSeq, a predicted model, not a curated record